AACGCACGAGACCUGCGGACCUGCGGAGGGAUCAUUACCGAGUUAUACAACUCAUCAACCCUGUGAACAUACCUAUAACGUUGCCUCGGCGGGAACAGACGGCCCCGUAACACGGGCCGCCCCCGCCAGAGGACCCCCUAACUCUGUUUCUAUAAUGUUUCUUCUGAGUAAACAAGCAAAUAAAUUAAAACUUUUAACAAUGGAUCUCU
This 209-nucleotide unclassified non-coding RNA is filed under the name soil metagenome. Its description in RNAcentral is "partial contains 5.8S ribosomal RNA, internal transcribed spacer 2, and large subunit ribosomal RNA". The record is from RNAcentral.